Molecule: small RNA, 220 nt
Filed under: Drosophila virilis
Lineage: Eukaryota; Metazoa; Arthropoda; Insecta; Diptera; Drosophilidae
Description: GJ26346
Source: RNAcentral
CGCAGUGCAGAACGUGGUUUACAAUCAGUUCGAAUUGAAUAACAUCAUGAAGUGGCUAUCUCUAGUUUUCGCCUUAGCCGUAUUGGCUCUAGCCAGUGCAAACCCUUUGCAACCGGAUGUGGUCAUCAAUGGGGAUUGCAAGAAGUGCAACGUGCACGGCGGCUAAAAACACUCAAAUAUUAUAAUAAAUAAAUCGAAAUAAACAAAUGAAUGCACUGUA